AUCCAGCUGACUAGCCCCAAAUGGGACGAAACGCGCGUCCUGGAU
RNAcentral lists this non-coding RNA (45 nucleotides) under Schistosoma margrebowiei. The record is from RNAcentral. Lineage: Eukaryota; Metazoa; Platyhelminthes; Trematoda; Strigeidida; Schistosomatidae.